Long non-coding RNA from Cephus cinctus (wheat stem sawfly), 3569 nucleotides. RefSeq lists it as uncharacterized. NCBI's taxonomy places the organism in Eukaryota, Metazoa, Arthropoda, Insecta, Hymenoptera, Cephidae. The record is from RefSeq and is a predicted model, not a curated record. The transcript has 6 exons.
GAUAAAGGGAAACCGCCGGACCUCCACCAUAAAUUCCAACGUUCCCUGAAAGAACUACCAUCCCCUGUAUACUCUCUCCAGCCCCGUUCGGUGCACACCUGUUAAACAUUCCAUGCUUACCCAAAAAAGAUCCAAGAGACCACCUGAAAAAAUAUCCUAAACCCCUGAGGUCAUUCCUGAACUCCUAUCAGAUUUUUUUUUUUCACAAUGGAAUCAUCCUCUAUUUCAUACGUCAAGAUCGUAUAAGGAUUCUUUAAAGGGUAAGUCAUAAAAAUAGUGAAAACCGUCCUUGAUUUAUUGUCGUGUUAUUAGAACAUUAACUAUGACUUAGGAACAUGAAGCGAGCCAAGGUCUGUAAUUACAAUUAAAUUUAGCAAACUUUGUCACGAUAGCCUACUUUUGUUACACAGUGUUGUGUAUCUAGGUAUACGCUUGUACAUUAAUAACUCCAAGAAUCAUUAGGUCUUAUCUCCACCCCAGAACUCCGAGUGCUUAUCCAUCCUCAGGCUUCCUCAAGGUCCACACUAGGUAAAUUCGCGUGUUCGUCGUUGUUAAAAGGACUUUUAAUAUUUUUUAUCUCUUUUUCAGUUAAACGCAACCGCCACUUUUUACAUGUGCAUGUAAAUUGGUGCAGUCUUCGAGAUUCUUGUCGACUCUACCAGCAAAAUUAAAUAACGUUUCGCAACUCUCCAAGUCACAUGGCCAAGAGGAAGCUUUACCGUCCGAGCAAAAAGUUGCAGAGUGACGAAUUUAAAAUUGAAAAAGAAACAAAAAAAGAAUAACGACAAUGGAGUAAUUCCUUUCGAAGAUCUUGGCCUAGAUAGUUAUCAGUAACGUUACAAGAAAAUGGAGCAGAUGGCUAUUUUUGGAUUUUUUUUUACAAAAGUUCGCCAACUAUUUAACGUUGCGUUUAAUGCCACCAGCACCUCCCUCAUGCCCCUCGUCACUAAUGUGUCUUAUAAUACCGUGUCCUAGCUUGAUUAAGGUAUCUGGUUCAAGGGUGACUAACAAUAUGCAUCGUGAGUCUGUCCAAGAGAUUGGAAUAUAGCUAUACACGAAAAUUUGUAUUUACCCUUUAUGUCAAUUCUAUCUAUUUAUUGAUGGAUUUUGUAUGGAUUAUAUAUAUUUAUAUACUACGAUAAGACUUAAAUAGAAAAAAAAAAUGUUUAUAGAUUCCACGCAUGCUUUGUAAUGGAUAAUGGGAAAUUUUAUACUUGUACUAGAAGAUGGGGUCCUGCGCCGUUCUCGUUGAUUCUGAAUACAAAUGGCCCAUCCAAGUAAUUUACUGCCAUUCCAGGCUAUAUGCACUGCAGAGUCUCUGGCUUAAUAUGAACAUACGUCUAUGUUUUUACGCAGGGCCAUGCGAAUAAUAUUUCGGAGGAUCCGGAUAUAAUAUACACUAGCUAUUUGACUCUUUGAUAUAAUAUCUGAUGGCGGAUUUUUUAUUGGCAGUGUCUUUUUUCCUUGAUGAUUCUGAGGAUACUGGAAAAAUAAGGGGAUGUAUCAAGAGAGGAUUUGGCAUAAGGGUGUCAAGGAGAAUGAGUGAAAUAUGAGAUAUCAGAGGGCUGAGUGUAUUGUGGAUCUAUGAAAUUUCUAAUGCUUCAUGGAAAGACAUGCUACUACCCUUUUCGAGAAUGAGAACGUUGCCGUGCCACGCAUUCAAUUUUGUUAAUGAGGGUUUGCAAACAAGCGUAAUCCAUAGAACCACCCUUUGACCCUUUGGCUCUCGCAUGCCAGAAGUAUGUACGCCCAGGAGUAGAUGUGCUGGUAAAUAUCUUCUAGGGUGGUCGAUACUUCUUGUGCGCUAUUUGAGAAAUUGCGUGCACGCUAAUGGAUCAUUCUCAAAAAUUAAUCAAAGCUGGAAUCUCGCAAGUGUCUCCCUCAUAGAAAGCAUAUAAGUUAUAUUACAGUCACCGUAUCUCCUGUUUUCUUAUACACAAAGUCGAGUACACCUCCUUCACUCUUGAGGAAGUUCUUUUAGAUCUCAAAAUCUAUGGAGAUACAAGGGCUACGUAUAUCAUCACUUUACCUAAAGUUUCUUUAAAAAAGACAAAUAAUAUAACUAAUAAUAAAAAUAAUCACGAGAUGUCGGAGCGACUACCGGAGAUGCGUCCCGACUCGAUGGGAGUCCGUAGCGCAACUGAACAGAACUGAAUAGUGAAUUUCCUUCGCUGAACUCUGAACUAAAGCGGAACCGGGACCCGGUAUUGGGACGUACCGGGUGUAAAAAAAGCGGUUCUACCAGCGUCCAUCUACUCCAAGGGAGACUUUCUGGGGGAAGAUUCUCAACGUCUUUUGGAUGACACACCCGUUACAUUCCAGAAUUCCACAAUGCUCACUCGCUAUGUGACGUUCCAAGCACGCAAUCACUUUCCCGUAUUUCCUGCAACAGCAAAUCACCAUCCAUAGCUUCUGCACACGUGUAAUAUCAGCCUCUUUGGUGGUACGUGAUUGUCAUUCGAAAUCCUACAAGAAGUAGUGGUGAUAAUAGUUGAAAAUUUGGUCGUGUAAAAAGAGAACAAGAUGGCGAGUAAAAUUUAAUAUUUAAUAAGGUUUAUAUUGCCUAAGUGAAAUUAGGGCUUUUGGUCCCUUCAUUAUUAUACCGUAUUUUGUUCAGGGUCAAAGAGAAUGACAAUAUCCCUUACUGCCAGAGGCCGAAAAUAGUACUGUGACACUGCUUGAGAAUGGGGGAAGACACGAAAUGCGAAUAACAAAGUGGAAGUAGAGGAACGACGACAAGCUGAUAAAGGAGGUUAAUGAAUUAGCCGAGGAGGUCUCUGCGGCACCAUCAUUUUGGUAAUUCAAGUUUCAAUUUAUCGUCCUUCUUACUUCCCUGUUCCCAGGGCGACCUCAACGCAACGAUAAUACCGUGGCGACUUCUUCAAAUGCUACUUUACAUAAAAUGGUGACUCCACGACAAAAUGACACGCGAAUGAUUCCACCGCAUGUUUAUUCACCUAACCUAGUGGCUCAUGAAACGAAGCAGAGUUAUGGUAACCUCUGAUCAAUAAAUCCUUGUAUGUCAGUUAAAUGUCCCAGGACGAUGGUAGGCAAACCCACCGACGUAGACAACAAUACAUUCGCUUCAGGCUAUUCAGCGACGAUCAAGGAACUCUUCUUCUGGAGGUGGAAACCCCAGUCUUCCGUUGUUUGUUCAUCACAAUGAAAAUUAUUGAAUGAAUAUUAAUAGCCCAACAGACAGUCAGUGCGUUACGAUUUUGUUCUGUAUCGACCGAUAGAACAAUUAAUUGUUUCUAUUAAUUUUCAAUUGUUCUGUUCAGCACGAACAGCACUAACGGAACACUAGCAUUGAUAUGGCCACUUGAUAGUAAAUUUUGUAACAAUCGACCAAUCAAAUCUAUUUGUACCUUCAGCUGCUUUUUUUGAACACAUAGCAUAUGCAUUAAAAGAAUCUUACAAUGAAAUCUCUUUAAAGACAGGAGAAAGAGAAGAAAACGAAUUUCUUGUACCAAUCGACAUCAUUGACUAGACCCUCCAGUCACAGAAGGUCUAGGGCUUUAGAUUUUAGAAAUUCCUAUACUUGUCGCGAGUGCGAGAGAGAGGGUCUU